UUGAAAUUCCUGCAGAAAAUUUGUUUUCUUUUCCUGGAAUUUUGUUGGAUAUCUAGAACAACUUGUUUAUAAAAUAGUUGCCGACUUCGCGCGAAGCAAAACAACUUGUUGGUUUUUUAUUUGUGGCCAACGACAGGUCGUUAAACUGUGUUUUUAGCGUUUUUGCCCUUAUUCCUUGAGCCCUUGUGUUGCGGGGUCUCCUAGCCGGCGAUGGCUAUUCCCAAGCUUUUAUUGUCUCACCUCCGCCGUUCUCGUCCCCUCUCCUCUCUUAACACUCCCUCUUAUGCCUGUGUUUCUCACCUCCUCACAAAUCUUAGCCCGCUCCUCUCACCUCCUCCUAUUCCCUCUCACAACCCCCACGG
RNAcentral lists this unclassified non-coding RNA (362 nucleotides) under Hevea brasiliensis (rubber tree). The record is from RNAcentral. Lineage: Eukaryota; Viridiplantae; Streptophyta; Magnoliopsida; Malpighiales; Euphorbiaceae.